RNAcentral lists this ribosomal RNA (253 nucleotides) under uncultured bacterium. RNAcentral's name for it is "partial 16S ribosomal RNA". It matches the Rfam family "Bacterial small subunit ribosomal RNA", at positions 524 to 776 of the family's 1533-position model. The record is from RNAcentral.
GACGUAGGGCGCGAGCGUUGUCCGGAUUUAUUGGGCGUAAAGAGCUCGUAGGCGGCUUGUUGCGUCGACUGUGAAAACCCGCGGCUUAACUGCGGGCUUGCAGUUGAUACGGGCAGGCUAGAGUUCGGUAGGGGAGACUGGAAUUCCUGGUGUAGCGGUGAAAUGCGCAGAUAUCAGGAGGAACACCGGUGGCGAAGGCGGGUCUCUGGGACGGUACUGACGCUGAGACGCGAAAGCGUGGGGAGCGAACAGG